GCUCGGAUGGUGGAAUUGGUAGACACGCUACUUUGAGGUGGUAGUUCCGAAAGGUGUGGGGGUUCGAGUCCCCCUUCGAGCA
This 82-nucleotide transfer RNA is filed under the name Leptospira sp. RNAcentral describes it as "tRNA-Leu". It matches the Rfam family "tRNA". Rfam says of the family: Transfer RNA (tRNA) molecules are approximately 80 nucleotides in length. Their secondary structure includes four short double-helical elements and three loops (D, anti-codon, and T loops). Further hydrogen bonds mediate the characteristic L-shaped molecular structure. tRNAs have two regions of fundamental functional importance: the anti-codon, which is responsible for specific mRNA codon recognition, and the 3' end, to which the tRNAs corresponding amino acid is attached (by aminoacyl-tRNA synthetases). tRNAs cope with the degeneracy of the genetic code in two manners: having more than one tRNA (with a specific anti-codon) for a particular amino acid; and 'wobble' base-pairing, i.e. permitting non-standard base-pairing at the 3rd anti-codon position. RNAcentral also lists the same sequence under 2 other names. The record is from RNAcentral. Lineage: Bacteria; Pseudomonadati; Spirochaetota; Leptospiria; Leptospirales; Leptospiraceae.